RNAcentral lists this transfer RNA (70 nucleotides) under Calappa bilineata. RNAcentral describes it as "tRNA-Lys". The record is from RNAcentral. Lineage: Eukaryota; Metazoa; Arthropoda; Malacostraca; Decapoda; Calappidae.
CACCCGAUGACUGAAAGUAAGUCUAGGUCUUUUAAACCUAUAAUAGUAUGUUCACGCCUACUUCAGGUGA